GAUGAACGCUGGCGGCGUGCCUAACACAUGCAAGUCGAACGGAGUCCAGCCUUUAAGACCUUCGGGUCAAAGAGGGGAAGACUGAGUGGCGGACGGGUGAGUAACACGUGGGCAACCUGGCUCAUAGAGGGGGAUAACAGAGAGAAAUUUCUGCUAAUACCGCAUAAGCACACACUGCCGCAUGGCAGAGGGUGAAAAGAGAAUCGCUAUGAGAUGGACCCGCGUCUGAUUAGCCAGUUGGCAGGGUAAGAGCCUACCAAAGCGACGAUCAGUAGCCGAUCUGAGAGGAUGAACGGCCACAUUGGGACUGAGACACGGCCCAAACCCCUACGGGAGGCAGCAGUGGGGGAUAUUGCACAAUGGGGGGAACCCUGAUGCAGCGACGCCGCGUGAGUGAAGAAGUAUUUCGGUAUGUAAAGCUCUAUCAGCAGGGAAGAUAAUGACAGUACCUGAAUAAGAAGCCCCGGCUAACUACGUG
RNAcentral lists this ribosomal RNA (478 nucleotides) under uncultured bacterium. RNAcentral describes it as "partial 16S ribosomal RNA". It matches the Rfam family "Bacterial small subunit ribosomal RNA", at positions 28 to 507 of the family's 1533-position model. The record is from RNAcentral.